UGGGAAUCUUGCGCAAUGGGCGAAAGCCUGACGCAGCCAUGCCGCGUGAAUGAUGAAGGUCUUAGGAUUGUAAAAUUCUUUCACCGGGGACGAUAAUGACGGUACCCGGAGAAGAAGCCCCGGCUAACUUCGUGCCAGCAGCCGCGGUAAUACGAAGGGGGCUAGCGUUGCUCGGAAUUACUGGGCGUAAAGGGAGCGUAGGCGGACAUUUAAGUCAGGGGUGAAAUCCCGGGGCUCAACCUCGGAAUUGCCUUUGAUACUGGGUGUCUUGAGUGUGAGAGAGGUAUGUGGAACUCCGAGUGUAGAGGUGAAAUUCGUAGAUAUUCGGAAGAACACCAGUGGCGAAGGCGACAUACUGGCUCAUUACUGACGCUGAGGCUCGAAAGCGUGGGGAGCAAACAGGAUUAGAUACCCUGGUAGUCCACGCCGUAAAACGAUGAUUGCUAGUUGUCGGGAUGCAUGCAUUUCGGUGACGCAGCUAACGCAUUAAGCAAUCCGCCUGGGGAGUACGGUCGCAAGAUUAAAACUCAAAUGAAUUGACGGGGUCAUAGCUGUUUCCUG
Molecule: ribosomal RNA, 561 nt
Filed under: uncultured bacterium
Lineage: Bacteria
Description: partial 16S ribosomal RNA
Rfam family: Bacterial small subunit ribosomal RNA
Source: RNAcentral